This 392-nucleotide unclassified non-coding RNA is filed under the name uncultured Apiotrichum. Its description in RNAcentral is "sequence contains ITS1". The stretch from base 1 to 112 matches the Rfam family "5.8S ribosomal RNA", at positions 50 to 154 of the family's 154-position model. The record is from RNAcentral. Lineage: Eukaryota; Fungi; Basidiomycota; Tremellomycetes; Trichosporonales; Trichosporonaceae.
GAAAUGCGAUAAGUAAUGUGAAUUGCAUUAUUCUGUGAAUCAUCGAAUCUUUGAACGCAACUUGCACUUUCUAGGACUACUACUACUAGAGAGUAUACCUGUUUGAGUAUCAGAUGAUUCUAUAUCCAAACAAAGUGUUUGGGAAAUGAGAUAUUGUGAAUGAAUAAGCAUAUUUAUUCUAUCUUUAAAUGAAGAGAAUGAGGUGGCGUGGAAGAGGGAUAUAUUUUCUAGUAAAAGUCUUAAAGUGAGGUAAGAAAAAUGACGAAUUUUUCUCCCACUGGAUAGACAGUUUAUUACUAGAUCGACUUUUUCCUGUCAUUACUGUUUUUUCGAGAUUUUCUCACUAUUUGAAUUUUGAUCUCAAAUCAGGCAAGAGUACCCGCUGAACUUAA